GACGUAGGGCGCAAGCGUUGUCCGGAUUUAUUGGGCGUAAAGAGCUCGUAGGCGGCUUGUUGCGUCGACCGUGAAAACCCGUGGCUCAACUGCGGGCUUGCGGUCGAUACGGGCGGGCUAGAGUUCGGUAGGGGAGACUGGAAUUCCUGGUGUAGCGGUGAAAUGCGCAGAUAUCAGGAGGAACACCGAUGGCGAAGGCAGGUCUCUGGGCCACUACUGACGCUGAGAAGCGAAAGCGUGGGGAGCGAACAGG
RNAcentral lists this ribosomal RNA (253 nucleotides) under uncultured bacterium. RNAcentral's name for it is "partial 16S ribosomal RNA". It matches the Rfam family "Bacterial small subunit ribosomal RNA", at positions 524 to 776 of the family's 1533-position model. The record is from RNAcentral.